CGUGUAGGCGGUAUGGUAAGUCAGAUGUGAAAGCCCUGGGCUUAACCCAGGAAGUGCAUUUGAUACUGCCAUUCUUGAGUAUGGGAGAGGAGAGUAGAAUUCCCAGUGUAGAGGUGAAAUUCGUAGAUAUUGGGAGGAAUACCCGUGGCGAAGGCGACUCUCUGGACCAAUACUGACGCUGAGACGCGAAAGCGUGGGGAGCUAACA
This 207-nucleotide ribosomal RNA is filed under the name uncultured bacterium. RNAcentral's name for it is "partial 16S ribosomal RNA". It matches the Rfam family "Bacterial small subunit ribosomal RNA", at positions 568 to 774 of the family's 1533-position model. The record is from RNAcentral.